UGGGGAAUAUUGGACAAUGGGCGAAAGCCUGAUCCAGCAAUGCCGCGUGAGUGAUGAAGGCCUUAGGGUUGUAAAGCUCUUUUACCCGGGAAGAUAAUGACUGUACCGGGAGAAUAAGCUCCGGCUAACUCCGUGCCAGCAGCCGCGGUAAUACGGAGGGAGCUAGCGUUGUUCGGAAUUACUGGGCGUAAAGCGCACGUAGGCGGCUUUGUAAGUUAGAGGUGAAAGCCUGGGGCUCAACUCCAGAAUUGCCUUUAAGACUGCAUCGCUUGAAUCAUGGAGAGGCGAGUGGAAUUCCGAGUGUAGAGGUGAAAUUCGUAGAUAUUCGGAAGAACACCAGUGGCGAAGGCGGCUCGCUGGACAUGUAUUGACGCUGAGGUGCGAAAGCGUGGGGAGCAAACAG
RNAcentral lists this ribosomal RNA (403 nucleotides) under uncultured bacterium. RNAcentral describes it as "bacterial SSU rRNA". It matches the Rfam family "Bacterial small subunit ribosomal RNA", at positions 355 to 775 of the family's 1533-position model. The record is from RNAcentral.